UUGCCUACGGGGGGCAGCAGUAGGGAAUAUUGGUCAAUGGGCGGAAGCCUGAACCAGCCAAGUCGCGUGAGGGAAUAAGGCCCUACGGGUCGUAAACCUCUUUUGCCGGGGAGCAAGGGCCGGGACGAGUCCCGGUCCGGAGAGUACCCGGAGAAAAAGCAUCGGCUAACUCCGUGCCAGCAGCCGCGGUAAUACGGAGGAUGCGAGCGUUAUCCGGAUUUAUUGGGUUUAAAGGGUGCGUAGGCGGGCUUUUACGUCAGCGGUAAAAAUUCGGGGCUCAACCCCGUCCGGCCGUUG
Molecule: ribosomal RNA, 297 nt
Filed under: uncultured bacterium
Lineage: Bacteria
Description: partial 16S ribosomal RNA
Rfam family: Bacterial small subunit ribosomal RNA
Source: RNAcentral